RNAcentral lists this transfer RNA (86 nucleotides) under Heterosigma akashiwo. Lineage: Eukaryota; Raphidophyceae; Chattonellales; Chattonellaceae. The record is from RNAcentral.
GCCUGUUCCCCGACGUGGGCGGCGGCUGGUUCCUGGCCCAGUGCCCGGGCCAUGUGGGUGAAUGGCUCGCGCUGACCGGCCAGGCC